RNAcentral lists this ribosomal RNA (2354 nucleotides) under bioreactor sludge metagenome. RNAcentral's name for it is "bacterial LSU rRNA". It matches the Rfam family "Archaeal large subunit ribosomal RNA", at positions 571 to 2987 of the family's 2987-position model. The record is from RNAcentral.
GCGCAAGGAUCUGCUCCUCGAAGGAAACGGCGGCAACGCCGCAGUACGAGAGGGAUUGCCGGCGUUCUAACAUGCGUUUUGAAGAACGAACCAGGGAGUGCAUAUUGGCGGCGAGGCUAAUUCUGAUAUAGAGGAAGCCGUAGCGAAAGCGACAGGCGCGCAUGAAAAGAGGCGCGACGUAUACAAGUGCGUGCAGUCGUCCGUAUGCGACCCGAAGCCGGGCGAUCUAGGCGUAGGUAGGUCGAAGCGUGGCGAAAGCUGCGUGGAGGACCGUUUGAGGUGUUGAUAUGCAAAUCGCUCUCGUGACCCGCGUCUAGGGGUGAAAGUCCAAUCGAGGUCGGAAAUAGCUGGUUCCUCCCGAAACAUAUCGCAGUAUGACCUGGUCUGAGAUAGUCGGCGGAGUAGAGCACUGAUUGGGGAAGCCGGACUCGAAAGGGUCUGUUCUCUUGUCAAACUCCAAAACCGCCGUCGUCGUAGACGACCAGCAGUCCGGGCUGGGGGGUAAGCUUCUAGUCCGUGAGGGAGACAACCCUGACCGUGGUUAAGGUCCCCAAAUAUCGGCCAAGUGUCAACACUUAAGGGAGUCCUGGGUCAUAAACAACUGGGAGGUUAGCUUAGAAGCAGCUACCCUUCAAAGAGUGCGUAACAGCUCACCAGUCGAGGUUUGGGGCCCCGAAAAUUGACGGGGCUCAAGUCGACCACCGAUACCACGGAGUACCGCAAGGUAAUCUCGUAGGAAGGCGUUGUGUUCGGGCUGAAGCAGGGCUGUGAAGUCCUGUGGACCGUUCACAAACGAAAAUCCUGGUAAUAGUAGCAGCAAAGCAGGGUGAGAAUCCCUGCCGCCGAAGGGGCCAGGUUUCCUCGGCAAUGAUCGUCAGCCGAGGGUUAGUCGGUCCUAAGACGUACCGUAACUCGAGUACGCCAAAAGGGAAACAGGUUAAUAUUCCUGUACCAUUUAGCAAUACGCUCUGACGUCUCAGGGCAGGCCGAGCGGAGUCGUCGCUCCGUCCAAGCAGCGAACCCCGUGGAGAGCCGUAAUGGCGAGAAGCGGGCGAAUCUGUGAAUGCGCAAGUCGGCUGCACCCAGGGACCCGUGAAAAGGACAGCUAAAUGUCCGUACCGAGAACUGACACUGGUGCCCCUAGCUGAAAAGGCUAAGGCGUGUCGGAGUAAUUCAGUUAAGGGAAUUCGGCAAAUUAGCUCCGUAACUUCGGGAGAAGGAGUGCCUGCUGUGAAGACAGCAGGUCGCAGUGACCAGGGGGCUCUAACUGUCUAAUACCAACAUAGGAGAUUGCAAAUCCGUAAGGACUAGUACAAUCUCUGAAUCCUGCUCAGUGCAGGUACCUGAAACCCCGGUUCAACGGGAAGAAGGGCCUGUAAACAGCGGGGGUAACUAUGACCCUCUUAAGGUAGCGUAGUACCUUGUCGCUUAAUUGGCGACUUGCAUGAAUGGAUCAAUGAGAGCCCUACUGUCCCUAACUGGAAUCCGGUGAAGCUUACAUUCUAGUGCACAGUCUAGAGACCUCUAGGGGGAAGUGAAGACCCCGUGGAGCUUUACUGCAGCCUGUCGUUGGGUUGUGGUUCUGGAUGUACAGUGUAGGUAGGAGACGUCGAAGCGGGUGCGCCAGCAUCCGUGGAGUCGCAAUUGGGACACUACCCUUCCGGGACUACGACCCUAACUCUGAGAAGAGGACCCCGAUAGGUGGGCAGUUUGCCUGGGGCGGGACGCCCUUGAAAAGAUAUCAAGGGCGCGCAAUGGUUGACUCAAGCGGGUCGGAAACUCGCUGAAGAGUGCAAGAGCAUAAGUCAGCCUGACGUUAUUCAGCACAGCAGUGGAUGACGAGACGAAAGUCGGCUCUAGCGAACUUUUGUGCCUCCUUGGUGGGGGCCAAAAAUGACAGAAAAGUUACCCCGGGGAUAAUUGAGUCGUUGCCGGCAAGAGUACAUAUCGACCCGGCAGCUUGCUACCUCGAUGUCGGUUCUUUCCAUCCUGGCCGUGCAGCAGCGGCCAAGGGUGAGGUUGUUCGCCUAUUAAAGGAGAUCGUGAGCUGGGUUUAGACCGUCGUGAGACAGGUCGGUUACUAUCUACUAGAGGUGUGUGCAGUCUGAGGGUAAGUUGCUUUUAGUACGAGAGGAACCGAGCAACGGCGCCACUGGUCGAUCGGUUGUCUGACAAGGCAUUGCCGAGCAGCUACGCGCUAAGGAAUAAGAGCUGAAAGCAUCUAAGCUCGAAAUCUAACCUAAAAAGAGACUGCUUUAAGAGUUCCGGUAAAAGACCGGUUUGAUAGGGUCGGGAUGUAAGCAUCAAGGCAACGAGAUGUUCAGUCCGCGGCUACUAACCACUCGUGCCUAGUC